CCCGCUUUAUCACUACCCGAAGGAGUCUCAAAGCGGCUAACAUUCUCCUUUCUCUUCCUCCCCCACAACAAACACUCUGUGAGGUGAGUGGGGCUGAGAGACUUCAGAGAAGUGUGACUAGCCCAAGGUCACCCAGCAGCUGCAUGUGGAGGAGCGGAGACACGAACCCGGUUCCCCAGAUUACGAGUCUACUGCUCUUAACCACUACACCACACUGGCUCUCUUCAAGCAUUUUGGAAAUGCGUACAGUAAGCACUCAAAGGGGAUGUGGCAGUAGGAAUGAGUCUGCUUCCUUUGGCCACCUUGUGACCUCCUUGACUUGAAACAUCAGAGUUCUAACGUGUGCUGGGAGCUUCCCAGGUUCUAGAAGGCUCCCUAUUUCACACAGGCACCCUCCAACUUCCAGGGGUUGAGGGGGAUGAAAGAAACAAAGAGGAGGGCCAGAGCUAUCAUACUCCGUUCCGGCACCUCUCAGGUGGGCGCCAUUGCCAUUGUAAGAGAACAAGGGAGGUGUUUGUGGUGAGUUCCAGCACCUCUUUUUCUAGAAAAAUAGCACUACUUGCCCCCACCCCCACGUGUUUACUAUACACUGUUCCAGAAUUCCUGAAGAGGGUUAUAAAUAAAUAUGAACAAGUAAAUUGUCCUUCUGCUUAAGUGGAGAGUAGUUCUCCAAAAGAAGAAAAGAAAUGGUUUGGGAAGGGAAGGAACUGUUCUAUAGAAAGUGUUGGGUUCAUUUGCUUUUACAAAGCAGCCUCGCUUAGAAAAGAGCAUUUCAUCAAAACCCAGCCUGUCUCUGGAGGCCUCGUGACAUUCUUCAGCAAUGCAGAAAGUGAAAAAUCAGAUGCCAGUCAGAAUGUGCGCGUGGAAGCCAGUUUCCAUAAUAAAGUACUUGAUCUUCUCAAAUAAAAAGCAAAAAUCCCGAUAUGUCUCUAUAGGAAUAAACUGGCAAGGAACAACAAAUAAUAUAUUACAAGAAUUGUUUUCUCCUUUAGUCUAGACAAGAGAAGGUGUGAUGACCUUUGCUGCUUCUGCCAACACCAACAGUUUACGUCGCAGCUGGAAGGACGGUCCCAGCUAACGGGGAGUCCAGUGGCUUGUCAGCCCAACAAUCCACUCGGGACAUUAUUUCAAGCUGUCCUUUGGCAUUUGGAGAUGCGAAGGCCUUUUGUGCUAGCCUUUUGUGGGUUCAUUUGUUGUGUCCAAAUGAGGAAGGCUGGCAGAAUGUGAAAAUUUAUAUAAAUGAGGGCAUUGUGUGUUCAAAAGAAGAGAGGUACGUUUGAUCUUAGCUGUUACUGAUUUACCUUUUCCUCGUGAUAACAUUCAUUAGGCAGGAUAAGGUAAUGCCGCUGAGUCCCCUUUAUAUUGUCAACAGUUAAAAUAUAGGCAUCAUAUAAGGUGUAACAUCAGUCAUGUCUCAAGGCAACAACCCCCCCCCCACCUAACCAUGAUUUGAAACUUCUUCUGCACCAGGCGUUUUCUUUGAACAUACAGUCCCUCCUCUCUGUUUCUAGAUAUUUGCGGCUUCGCUCAAAUAUACACAGCAAGAAAUGUUUACUUCGUGCCACAUCAGGGAUUCUGGAGCUUGUUUUGGUAUGCUCAGAGUCUGAGGCUAGGAUCUAGCUUGGAGAGCCACUUGGGACCACAGGUAUGGUCUAAGCCUCCUUUAAAGCCAUCCAAAUUUGUGACUAUCGCUAGCUCUUUUCCCACUACUGUCACUAGGCACUGUGUGAAGAAUUUUGUCCAUCCCGAAUCUUCCGACAUUCAGCUUCACUGGAUGUUCCCAAUAUUAUGUGAGAGGGAGAUUUUUUAAAAUUCAUUUUCUCCACAACAUUCAUAAUUCUACACAUCUCUCUCACUUCCCUCCCCAAUAUCCACCUUUCUUUAAACAAGAAAGUCCCAAAUCUUACAUCCUUUCCUUGUAGGGGAGUCACUUUAUCCCAUUGAAUAUUUUGGUUGCCCUUUUCUGAACAUUUUCUGGCUCUAGGAUCUCCUAUUUUAAGUGAGGUGACCAGAAUUGUACACAGUAUUCCUAGUGCAGUCAUUCCGUAGAUUUGUAUAAAGGAGUUUUAUUUCCAUUUUCUUUCCUAAUGGGUCCCAGCGUAGAAUUUGCCUUUAUUCACAGAUACUACAGUCUGGUCACUCACCACCAGUUCAGAUCCUAUAAGCGUCCAUGUGAAAUUAAGAUAUAUAUAUAUAUAUUGCCCACUUGCUUAACACCUGCUUACAGGUCAAUUGGUCACAAUUUACCCCACUGUGGUGAGAUUUUUGUGUGUUUCUAUUUAAAUUAAAAUUAUUGUUAUCAGAAGUACAGUGAUUUUAAAAUUUGCACCUAUAAAUAUAAAUUAACAUGCAAUUUGUAUGCAAAUCAGUGUGCCCCUCUCUUUUUGGGAGAUCAUAGAAUCAUAGAAUCUUAGAGCUGGAAGAGGACCAAGGGUCAUCUAGUCUAACCCCCUGCAAUGCAGGAACCUCAGCUAAAGUAUCCAUAACAGAUGGCUGCCCAACAUCUGCUUUAAAACCUCCAAGGAAGGAGAGUCCACCACCUCCCGAGGAAGACUGUUCCACUGUUGAACAGCUUAUUGCCAGAAAGUUUUUUCUGUAUAUUUUGUGCAUUUUGGCAGUGUGUAAAUGGUCAACCUACUUAGCUUUGGGCUAAGUAGGUAUUGUUUUGUUAAUUUACCAAUGGAUUUCUAUGCUGAUUUUAAACUUGGAAGGCCUUCUUACUUCACAUAUUGAAGACUUGAAGAGGGGUACAAACUUGCUGGUAAAAAUGGGGUAGGUGGGUGCAUUUUCUGAGUGUUCCUAUAGCUUUUCUCCAGACUAAGUUUUAUACAAGUUAUGUUUUUUUUUUUUUAAAAAAAAGAGAUUGGAAAGGGAGGAAUAUGUGCCGUACAAGGUGCUGAGAUCAUUCACAUUUCAAAUGCCAGUCAGACACACAGGAGGUGUUUGUUUUGGGAGAUAAUUAGAUGGUGAUGUAAUUAGAAGCAGUGGCUGGUGCUAGGAAGCACAAUCUUCUAGAGACAGGCAUUUCUGCUAAUUUGCUGCUGUUCAGGCUAUUCAAAUGGGAGCGGCCGUUAGGAUAAGAACUAGGGGCCCAGGCUUAGGAGAAAACCUGCAGAAGAGAAAAACAGGUUGGGUGGCUGUUGCCCAUGCAUUUGCCAACUGCUUCUCAUGUCCCUCAUGCUUUAAAGGCAGGGGGUCUCUGGAUUAUAGUCACAGAAACCUGUGGUGAGAUCAGGUACUCUGGGCUCACUCCCCUGUUCACCACCAUGUCGUAGAAGAACUUCAAGCAACUGCAGCAUGCUCAGCCUAGGCUGAAGAAUCUCACUCCCAAAGUUCUCACUUUCCGUUUUGCUUAUCAAAUAUACCACUCAACCUGUUAAUAUACUACUCAACCUGUUAAUUUGGUGCUGACCUUUCGUUCAGCCCGGACACUAAGAUCCAGCGCCCAGGGCCUUCUCGCGAUUCCCUCAUUGCGAGAAAUGAGGUUACAGGGAACCAGACAGAGGGCCUUCUCGGUAGUGGCUCCCGCCCUGUGGAACGCCAUUCCAUCUGAUGUCAAGGAAAUAAACUACUGUCAGACUUUUAGAAGACAUCGGAAGGCAGCCCUGUUUAGGGAAGUUAAUAUUUAAUGCUGUAUUGUUUUUAACACUCGAUUGGAAGCAGCCCAGAGUGGCUGGGGAAACUCAGCCAGAUGGGAAGGGUAUAAAUAAUAAAUUAUUAUUAUUUUGAUUAUUAUUAUUUAUCUGAUGCUUAAAGGUCUGGGUAUAUAUAUAUAUAUAGAGAAGGCAGAUCAAUAUGUUGAUCUAACCAGGCCUGAAUGUAACUUUCCUCACAAGUUGGCCCUUUUAAUUUGUUGGUGAAUCCAUAAAUUGAAGAGUCAAGACUUUCUCCUCCCCAUCCCCCGCACCCGGCUCCCUCUUCUUUCAUUUCCCUGAGCUGUAAGUCCACCUGUCACCACUCCAGUAAAAUUACUGGAAUUUGUCUUUGCCUUUUCUCUGCCUUUCAUGAAUACCCUAUUCAUGCCAUAAUCACUUCCUAUCUCAUCUGCUUCAAUUGCAUUGCAAAUAUGGCCUUUCUUUCAAAAUCCUUCCCUUCUAAGAUAUAAACUCCAUCUCACUGGAGUAUGAAUGGCUGGAUUCUGCCAAGAGAACUACUGAAAAGGGGAACAGAGGCUUCUCUUAGGAAUGUGUGGCGCACCAAGCAAAAGGUAGCCCACGAGCUUGCCAGGUAUCUUGCAACCCCAUUUUUGUAAUCAUGGGUGAGCAAUAAAAACAGAAGGUUCACCAAGCUCCUGAGAGGGUGCAUACAUGCCCAGUGGUUCUCUGGAUUGCAGGUCCACAUUGCAAGAAAGCCCAAGAUCUGCCCAAACCCUAUCAGGUGGGUUGAUGUAGCCAUGAGAGGGUUAAAUUUAGAAGCUCUUUAUUUCUAAGAGCCAUUGACAGGGAGAGCCAACUAAUUCUAAUUUUGUCCCCAUACUCCCCCUUGGAUUUGGAUUUGAUAUCCCGCUUUAUCACUACCCGAAGGAGUCUCAAAGCGGCUAACAAUCUCCUUUCCCUUUCUCCCCCACAACAAACACUCUGUGAGGUGAGUGGGGCUGAGAGACUUCAGAGAAAUGUGACUAGCCCAAGGUCACCCAGCAGCUGCAUGUGGAGGAGCGGAGACGCGAACCCGGUUCCCCAGAUUACGAAUCUACCGCUUUUAACCACUACACCACACUGGCUCUCCCUUGGCCUGGUUGCAAGAAGGCAAGCAGGUGUAAAUGGCUGGGGGGGGUGCAGAUUGAAGUUGGAGGGGCAGUGCCCCAUUUGCCCUAAUGGACAAGCAUCCACUGGGGAUCCCAAACGUUCCCCAAGGUACAAAAAAAUAUUUAGGAAAAAACCCUUUGGGGGGGGGGGGGAGAAAGACCCACUGGGGUCUUGGAGACCAUGCAAUGCUGCCUGGUACGCAUGAGUUAAAAGUAGACUGCUAGAGAAGGAGCAGAAAGAGAGUUGGCUGGAACCCUGAACAGGUCCCCCUCAUAUUUGUUAAAACAAAGCACUGCUUUUUGCAACCCACUUAAAGCAAACACGCUUCAUAAAAAACACAUAUUGAGUUAGCUGAAAUUUGCUUGGAAUCCGUUUAUGCCAACCCUGGCCUCCCUCCCUCAUUCUCCUUCCCCCCCGCUCUCCACAAUCCCAUAAGCAAAGGAUCAACGUGUUGCAUAUCCUUAAUGGGCAUGACCAGUGGAAGGAUUAAGGUAAGGAUCUCAGCAGUCGUCAAAGUUCUGAACAAAUGUUCAUGUUUGCAUUGUUCCCCCCAUGUCUUCACCUCGUUUAACAGGAAAGGAGGGAUUUUGUUUCUCCACUCUUACUAUGCUCCCUCUAUUUCCCAGAGACUGGCUGACUGCAACAGUGACUGACAGCUUGAGUCAGCAGUGCAGCUGGCUUUUAAGAACGGAGGUAUGGAAGACAAGGCAGCUAACCCAUGAUGGCUACGUUUGACCACAAUUGUUGGAGGCAGGAUGGUCUGAAAACCAGCUCCUGGGAAUCACAAGGAGGGAGAGUAGCCAGGGAGUGCUCCUGGGUCCACUUUCAUUGCCAGAGCGCCAGGUGACCUCAGUGACUAGGAGCGCCUUCCACUAGCUUUGGCUCGUAAGACAUCUGGGGCCAUUUCUGGACUGGGGUAGCCUGACCACUGUUGCCCAUGCACUGAUAACCUCCAGGCUGGAUUUCUGCAAUGCCACACCUUCCAAGUUUCCCUAUCUUCCCGGGACAGUCCUGGUUUUACAGAAGCCAUCUUCAUUUCUGAUUUGAACCUGGAAUGUCCCACUUUUCCUUAGGACGUUCCUAUUUUCAUUGGAGAAAUGUUGGAGGGUAUGGAGCUAUGUGACCCCUGAGACAAAGAGAUAAGAAAAUAUACAACCUUUAGAAGACAUCUGAAGGCAGUAUUAUGUUUUUUAUAUAUGUCGGAAGCCGCCCUGCAUGACUGGGGAAACCUAGUUAGAUGGCCAGUGUGCAAAUAAUAAGAUUAGUAGUAGUAGUAGUAGUAGUAGUAGUAGUAUUGAAUAAAAAGGUAAAGGUAAAGGACCCCUGACAGUUAGGUCCAGUCACAGUUGACUCUGGGGUUGUGGCUCUCAUCUCAUUUUACAGGCCAAGGGAGCCGGCGUUUGUUCACAGACAGUUUUUCUGGGUCAUGUGGUCAGCAUGACUAAGCCGCUUCUGGUGCAAUGGAACACCGAAACCAGAGCAGCACAUGGAAACGCCGUUUACCUUCCCGCCGGAGCGGUACCUAUUUAUCUACUUUCACUUUGACGUGCUUUCGAGCUGCUAGGUUGGCAGGAGCAGGGACCAAGCAAUGGGAGCUCACCCUGUUGCGGGGAUUCGAACCGCCGACCUUCUGAUCAGCAAGUCCUAGGCUCUAUGGUUUAACCCACAGCGCCACCUGCGUCCCUUUAUUCCCACCAAUUAUAUUUGGCGUGCUUUUGAACUGCUAGGUUGGCAGGAGCUGAGUCUGAGCAACGGGAGCUCACCCCGUCGCGGGGAUUCGAAUAGGACAUCCCUAUUCUCAUCUGAGAAAUGUUGGAAGGUAUCCAAUCUGCUUUAUAAAAACAUAAUUAAUUGAUAAUCACAGGCCAAGGACACAUCAUAGCUAGACAAAAGCCUUCAAGCAGGGUGUGGUGGGGAGUCAUGCUUUUGAAGGAUGUGCUGGGGAGAGUGGGCAUGGUUUAGGAGGAGUUCUGAGGGCCAGAUAAGGGAGGUCUGGAGGCCUUGGGGUCUAGGGUCCCCCACUCAUGCCUUGCAACACUGGAUUUGCCUCCAAUUUUGUAGAGAAUGGGAAGGACGCGGGUGGCGCUGUGGGUUAAACCACAGAGCCUAGGACUUGCCGAUCAGAAGGUAGGUGGUUUGAAUCUCCACGAUGGGGUGAGCUCCCGUUGCUCGGUCCCAGCUCCUGCCAACCUAGCAGUUCGAAAGCACGUCAAAGUGCAAGUAGAUAAAUAGGUACCUCUCUGGCAGGAAGGUAAACGGCGUUUCCGUGCGCUGCUCUGGUUUGCCAGAAGCGGCUUAGUCAUGCUGGCCACAUGACCCGGAAGCUGUACACAGGUUCGCUCGGCCAAUAAAGCUAGAUGAGCGCCGCAACCCCAGAGUCGGCCACGACUGGACCUAAUGGUCAGGGGUCCCUUUACCUUUACCUUUGUAGAGAAUGGAGAGGAAAAGAGGCACCUUAGCCCUUCUCUGGGAAUUCCAAAAACGUAAAAGGGUAAAGAGAAAAUAGAAUUCUGUGUGUUUUGGAUGCAUCAGUUUUAUCUUCAUCUUCUACACUCUUUGCAGGUGGGUGUAUUGCCAAAUUAUAUACAUAGUUUACUUUCCAUAAGGAUUUCUUAAAGGGGAAAAAAAAGUGGCUUAACAUUUGUUUACAGUUUGCAAAAACUAUUUUAGUGAUUCAUUUUGGCUGGGAGGUGAAAACAAAUCAAAGAUAUAACAGUGCUAUAAAUUCUCUAAGUGAAAUAUAAUUUGAAGGAAGAGUGCAAUUGCUAAAAAUUCACUCCAGGUCAAAUAUACAAUUUGUUGAUUAGGAGGUUGAACAAAUGCUUUUGAUAUUUUUUUUUCAAAGGGAAGAGAUGGUUUCAUUUUAGUUCAUAUUUAUUAUAUGGUAUGUUCCAAAGCACAACUAGCAAUUUCCUGACCUUCCAGCUGCUCUGUCUGUGAUCCUGGGACACACCUGCAGAUCACAGAGUCACAAUUGCUGUAACCUAGUUUUUUUGUGUUUUGUUUUGUUCUCACAUGCCAUCUAGGUCUAGAGGCUUCCAGUGAUUUUCUUCCAAAGCACAGAGAAGAGUUCUAUGUAUCUCAAAGCUAUUUUAAAAUAAUUCAUUUUGUUCCCACCAUCAAGGCAUCAACAAUACUUUGAAUCAUCUAUGAGCUAGAAGACUGAAUUUUUAAACAUUUUAUUAGCACCUGCUAUCCCAGUUUUCAAAUCACAUUAUCAUUGUUGAUGCUUGUGCUCAGGAUACUGUUAAAGUUGUUCAGUGGAAUCCCUGAGCUGGGCCUUGCAUAUGAGCAAUGUCAAAGUUUCAAAGCUUUACCGCAGAACAGUCUUAAAACUAUUUAAAUAUAAACAUUGCAUGGACAAUAUAACAAAGCAACAUGUUGCAAACUAGCAAUGUGGCUCAGUCCUUUAAGUCCUUUAUGGAAUUCUUGGUCCGAGAGAGAGAUUAUAGCUUGUUCAUCAUUGCAAAGUUUCUCUGCUACUGCUGCUGCUACUAGCCAUCUCUGACUUCUCAAGUUCCUUCACCUACUUUGAGAGCUGCAGCUCAGGUUUCCUGUGAUGAGUCAUCAUCACACCAGCCUUCCGCUUUCACCCAGAGUGGAACCUUUCGGUUAAGGUAAAUUUCGGUGAUUAUUAUUUUUUAAGUAUUUUAAAUGUUUUGUUACAAUUAACCAGAACAACUUUAACAAGCAUUGGAGUACUGAGGUGGUCAAAUUACCCAUUUCCAUUUUUGGGUUCACACUUGUUGCAACUAGGAAUAUUGAAGAAGUCUGAUAAAAAUGUAAAUGGGAGGAGAAAUUGCUAAUCUUCGCUUAGUUAAACCAUUUAUGGCCUUUUAAAGUAGUGGGUAUUGUUUUGUUCAUUACUAUGUUUUGUAUUUUUUGUGUUUAUAUUUGAAACCAUCCUGUGAUCCUCGGAUGAAGGGCAGUACAGAAAUUCAACAAACAAACCAACAAAUAUCCAUCUCAUGUCUGGAACGGAAGUCAGUCCAGUGAAUAUGAUCUGUUGUUUUUGUUGUUUUCAGUCUGCAAACGAUAUGCAAUUGAUCGCACACCUCAUUUGCAUCAUGUUUCUUUGCAUUUAAAUGAAUAGGGUGGAAUAACAGUGGCAACAUAAUGUAUAUAAUUUGCAUAAUUAAUUACAUAAAUCAUAUGAGUUAUAUAAGUCUGCUACAGUGGACAGUGAAACAAAUAGUGUAGCUUUUGGUAGAAAACGAACUGCAGUGGUAGAGAAGCAGUGUUGCAUGUGAUGAAUACAGGGUGGAACGGGCAAGCUUCUUACAUCCCUAGUUGCAACACAUUAAAGGCUGAACGAAUCUGUGAACUCAACACAGAGACCUCAACAGUGUCCCACUCAAUACGUGCAGGUGGGCCUGGAUGAGGGCAGAAUGACAUUAUUAUUCUUAAAUUAUUACUUGCUUUAGUCUUAUGGGACAGUGGCCCAGUCACCCUAAUGGACACAAUCCAGGGGGAAGAGGGAGAACUGCAUGUGGUGUUGGUGGCAAUUCAGUGGUCUCCAUCCCCCUUAGUUCCAUUCUAUAAGAACAUAACAAUAUUACAGUGCAAUUUGUCUUAGAGGUCUUUUGCUGUAGUAAACGGCAUAUGAAAUUUGUUAAAUGAAAAAUGCAGGGUGACUAAGUCCCAUUGAGCUCUGUGAGGCAUGCUCUCAGGUGUAAGUGGUGUGGAAUUGCAGUCUCAAGCCCUUCUAUAUAUUUGUGAGACUCACUUUCACAGCUUUUAUGUUCUCCAUUCCUUUUUGCCAAGUUUUGGAGGUGGCGAGCUAUUUUUUGUUUUGUUUUGAUACAUUUGACACUAGAAGUCAAGAUUUCCAGACACUCUUCCCUCAGUGCCAAAGGGUUAAAGAAGAAAGUUGGCUCCUUCAGUAGUUUUUUCCAAGUUUUUAUUGCUCUCUCCUCCACAUAUCCAAAGGAGGGGGGAAACCCCACCGAAUCAAAAUGUACCUAUGUGGAGGUUUUCAAUUAGCUCUUUUCACCCUCAUGAGUGCACAAGAGUACUCUGUGGGAGUACUUCACUGAAGACCUGUUGCUGUUGCUGUUGCUAUUGCUAUUAUUAUUAUUAGUAGUAGUAGUAGUAGUAGUAGUCAUUUGAUGGCUACCUUGAUUUUCUUUUAAGUCUUAAUUUCUCUUUCUAGCACAACGUCAAUUUCAUGGCCAACCUUAUGAAACAAUAUGAAGUAAGCCAUUUCAGGUGGAAGCUUCUAGAAGGGUAGCCAUCUUGCUGCUCUACCUGUGUGUGCUAUGAAAAAAAAUAUGAAUUCCACUCACAUGUUGAGUGGGAUCCCAAUGAAUACCAAGUCCAUGUUGCUUCCCAUGAAACAGUCAAAAUAGGCAGUGUCCUGCUUGGCUUCCUUUCUUGACAAUAGUGAAAAAAUGAUGUAGAAGUUGGAUAUAAAUCCGUAAGUGACCUAAAGGCAGGGAUGGAGAACCUGUGGCUCUCCUUAUGCCAUUGAUCUGCAACUCCCACCAGCCUCAGCCAGGAUAUUGGACUCAGUAUGCUUCUGAAUACCAGUUGUUGGGACAAUCAGUGGCCCCAAGGUCACCCACAAAGCUUUAUGGCCGAUUGGGCCUCCAUUAUCUCAAGUUGAACAAUCCACAUGCUAUAUACAGUUCUAACUCCCCCAGUUUCAUGAAAACGGACUUUCCAAAACUGUAUAUAAUGUGUGUGUGUGCGCACUUCAAUGGAGUAUGUCAUCGCUGCAGGAUAUUUUAAUACAGUUUGAGCUCUUACAUGUUCAAAUCCAGCAUUAGAAUAUUUUAAAAAAAUUAAUGGCUAUUGUUUUAACCUUGUGAUUUUUCUCUGCCGUUAGGAAGAAAAUGAAAUUGUAUCUGCUGAGAUUCAUUGCAGAGGGUAGUGUUUUAAUAACACAGCAUUUCUUUACCCCUCCUCCUUCUUCUCCUCCUUUUCAUUUGAAAAUCUCUCAAGAUUCAGGGGGCAAAAAACCCCUGACUUAAUAUAUGUGCAAAUUACUCAUAGCAUUCACAUCCCUUGUUCCUACAAAGCUGCUCUGAUGACGCUAUUAAAUGAAGGGCAUAUGGCAACCCUUUCGGCCUUCCUGGUUAAUUGGAAAAUGAUUCAGUAACUAUUUAAUAUAAUCUUGUUACUGUUACUAGGGAAAGGGUAGUUUCACCAGCAAUUGUGACUUUAGUUCCCAGAAGAUUAGUUCUUUUGUACCUCUUCCCUCCACCCAAGGAAAAUUCCUGAACUUCAGCCGAUGCAGAGGAACACAUCUACCAGCUGUGAGGCACAUGUAGGAUUACAGCAGGAUUGGCCUGGAAAAGCUCGAAUUCACAAGUAUGGUAAACCAUACUCAGCAUGGUAUCUUAUUUAUUGGGAACUUUACAAAACACUUUCAUCAUAAUUCCUUUCAAAGACAGACUGAGCAUAGCAUGCCUUCUUUAUGCAUUCCUUAUUACAUUAUAAUCACAAGCUGUCUUAGUGAAACAUAAUACUAUAAGCCUAAAUUUUGAAGGAAUGGUGAACAAAGCAUUUUUUUUUUUACAUUGUAAAUUAGCUGCUCUUGUAAUUGAAAUAAUAGAAAUAGCCUGAAUCAAAAAUUGAAGAAUAUGAUUAUUGGGAUCUCUUGUGAAUAUAUGGUGGCUGUCAGGGGUGGGGUGGGGGGAACUUCUUGGAUACAUUUGAGAGCAAGGAAGCCUUGUUCAUGUAUGGUGCAUGACACUAGCUAUAAAAAUAAGAAUGCUUUAGUCACACAACAAAAGCUCAUCAGUCCAAAUAGCCAGGGUUCUGAUAAGCAUUUGUAUAAGGGGUGAGAGACCACUAGCUCAUAGGACAGAGCUGGCCCAUCAACCCUUUCUCAAUAGCCCACCAAACUCCUGCCAUUUAUCUUGGCAACUUCCUGACCCUGCCACACCCCAAUCUGUUCUGGAAUUAAGGGAUCUGUCCAGUAAAGCAUGGGAGGAGACUGAGGGGUCUGCAAAGGGAAUGGGGAAUCAGUGAAAACCACAUCCUCACCACACAUCCAUUUACAAUGGUCUUUGCUGGAUCUAGGUUCUUCCAUUCAUGGGUUAGCAGUCAAUAACACAACUUUCACCUUGAUGAAAUUGCUGCUGCUUGCCAAGUGGUUGCAGUAGCAACUGACUAGGUAUCCACUUAAGUCUUCUGCUCCAAGACCUGAAGCAGCUUGAAUGUGGCUGAUUUGUGUCUUACCAAAGGUGCUUGCACAGCCGUCAUACGCAAUAAUAAUAAUAAUUUAUUAUUUGUACUCUGUCCAUCUGACUGGGUUUAAUCUGAUUGAUUAAAUUUAAGAUGAACGUGAGAAACUGGUCCACAAACCAGGAUAUUUUUUUUUUUUGCAACAGAACCUUGCUCUGUAGGCUUUGUGUGCAGUCCAAACAUAGUGAAAUUGGAGCAAGUGCAUGGCAUGUUAUUUUAUUAGCAGAUGUAUAUACCACUUUUCUUCCAUCGUGGGACCCAGAGAAGUGAACAUAGGGUUUCCAGGUGGUUCCCCCAUCCAGCAACUGAUCUGACCCAAACCUGUAAGGUAGCUGCAUCAUGUACUUAGACUAUGUCCUGGGAAACCACGCAUGAGCAUCUCUGUAUUUAUCCUGAAAAGGGUUGAGACUUGUGUCCAGCUGAACACACACAAAGCCCUCAAAGGCGCUUGGAAAAAGUCCACUGUGUUUCUACCUCUGCUUCCUUCCUCCUGAAGGCAAAGAAACUUGCCUUUGGGCAAAUAAAAGGACAGACGUGUGUGUGUGUGUGUGUGUGUGUGUGUGUGUGUGUCUGUCUUUUGGUGCCUUUUCACCAUUCCAAAAUUAUUUCUCUUGUCAUGUAAAAAGAAGCUGAAGACAGUCCUUGGGGAAAAAAAUCUCACAGUUGUGGAAUGAGAAAUUAUAGGCAUUGGAACACAUUGCAUGGAUGGGCUUGUUUUCUUUCCUUCCGGUUUCUGAUCCAUAAGAAAUGUUUUCAUAACUUUUUUAUCCUUCUGUCUGAAAUCAUAAGGACUGGAAUCAGACUUACAAUGUUUUAACAUCUAUGCAAUGGUGGUUGAAUAGCAAUUGCCUAUGUUGAAUGGCAACUGCAGGAAUUGGUAUGAAUGUGCACAUUACUCAUGAUCCAUGAAGCCUCAGGCCCUCCAGGGACCCAAAGAAGACUUGAAAGGGGUUGAGGCACUGGCUGCUGCAACCAGGAGGAACUUUCACCAACGCCGUCCCCAAUGGAAGAUAUGUCCCCACCAGUCCCCAGCACAAUUUCCAUCUCUUCAAGCUUGCAGAAGUCAGGAGAUACAGAAUCAGGCAGAGACCCACUAAAGAACAUAGCCAGCUUGUUCAGAGAGGCAGUGACUAAUGCAGAAGAGCACUUGCCUAAAUUUAGAAGGCUUCAGGAGGCUUCAACUCUCUGCUGAGGCAACAUUGCCUAAACCAGGGGAAAGAAAAGCUCUUGAGUUCCCUGGGAGCUUUCCAUGGUCCUGAUAUGGUCUGCCUGAACCUGAAUGCACCAUGCUGCAGUUUCCCGAAUCUGCCUUUACCUGAUGUGAUACUACAGAUUGCGACAUUACCUGGUGUGACCUUGUUCACUGAGUCUCUAUAUAAUAAGCUUCAGGCUUCUGCAUAGCAGAGUAACUUUGAGGAAACCUAUGGUUGCAUCAAUAUACUUUGUAUAUGUGGCAUUUUAACAUUGUGUGCAUGAGUAUAUGGGCACAUGACAAUAGGAAGUACGUUGAGAUUGGCUUUCUUUUCUUUUUUGCCAGUAUUUUAUCAAUGCACUGAUCUCACCAGAGAUCAUUUAGAGGAAGAAAAGAGAUGGAGGAAAUGGAAACUGCAGCCAAUAGCUUGUGCUCCAAUCUAGGAAUUACCAUUAGAAAUAUUUCUGGUUAAUUCCACACGUGCAUCCCCCAAGUUAAAUUGGAGUACACUGGAGUGCAAAACGGGGGAAUAGGAGAGUGAAUCAGAAGAGCAGUAAAGGAAGUAUGUAAUGAAUGGAAUUCAUUCAUGCCCAUUUUAACUGUAAGGCUUUUGGGACAUAAACUGGAGCUCUAUCCCUUGAGCCACUUGGUCAAUCCCAGUGGAAUGAGGUGAAGGCAGAGAGAGAAGAGAAGCCCGCGGCCGGACAGAGCAGUCUCUGUUUAGAAGUAUUUAUGGGGCAGAGAAUAUAACUUGAUCAGCUCUCAUCUAGAAGUCUGAAGAGCAGGCCUGGCAUCAGCACAUGGCAGAGUUGGGAGAGAGCCAGAACUGGGCUGUGAUAUACAGACAAGUCUCUGCCUAAUAGUUCUCAUGCAACUAGUUGGAGACUUGCUGUGGUUCUAGUCCUCUCUGAGGAAAACCCAUGGCUGGCAUGGCCAAAGCAGAUUUUCAUGCUUUUGUCUUGAUCUACUUCUUCUCACUUAGAUUUCUCCCUCUGUAAUGUACCAUUCAUACUAUGGGAGAGGAGGGAAGGAGAACUAAAUAUAUGGAUACAGACUAUUUACACUUAUCAUAGAAUCAUAGAAUCAUAGAAUCAUAGAGUUGGAAGAGACCACAAGGGCCAUCGAGUCCAACCCCCUGCUGAGCAGGAAACACCAUCAGAGCACUCCUGACAUAUGGUUGUCAAGCCUCUGCUUAAAGACCUCCAAAGAAGGAUCCACCACACUCCUUGGCAGCAAAUUCCACUGUCAAACAGCUCUUACUGUCAGGAAGUUCUUCCUAAUGUUUAGGUGGAAUCUUCUUUCUUGUAGUUUGGAUCCAUUGCUCCGUGUCCGCUUCUCUGGAGCAGCAGAAAACAACCUUUCUCCCUCCUCCAUGUGACAUCCUUUUAUAUAUUUGAACAUGGCUAUCAUAUCACCCCUUAACCUCCUCUUCUCCAGGCUAAACAUGCCCAGCUCCCUUAGCCGUUCCUCAUAAGGCAUCGUUUCCAGGCCUUUGACCAUUUUGGUUGCCCUCCUCUGGACACGUUCCAGUAUGUCAGUGUCCUUCUUGAACUGUGGUGCCCAGUUAAUAAUAAUAAUAAUAAUGCGCUGUUAAAACAAAACAGACAGACAGAUGGACAGAUAGACAUGCCCUCUUUAACAAGUGACCCUUUACUUCUCAGUCUACACCAUGUUCCAAACUUUAGGUGAUUAACCUAUCACUUAAACCAAGGCUGAGAAACCCUAGGCCCAGAGGCCUCUCUGUAUGGUCCUCAUUCUUCUUCCCAGGCCAUGCCCCUUUCUCCCCAGACUCCACCGCUCACUGGUCCUGCUCUGCAUUCCAAGUGUGGCUGGAAUGUGUCCUUGACCUGUGGAUGUGUGUAAAAACUAGUCUACUGUACAAAGAUAAAAUUUCCAUUUGUUGCUCCACCCACUUCUGCCAAUGGCCCAACCCACCACUGGCAUGUGAUCCUCAGAAGGUUGAGAGUCCCAUGGACUGCAAGAAGAUCAAACCGAUCCAUUCUGAAGGAAAUCAACCCUGAGUGCUCACUGGAAGGACAGAUCCUGAAGCUGAGGCUCCAAUACUUUGGCCACCUCAUGAGAAGAGAAGACUUCCUGGAAAAGACCCUGAUGUUGGGAAAGAUUGAGGGCACAAGGAGAAAGGGACGACAGAGGACGAGAUGGUUGGACAGUGUUCUCGAAGCUACCAGCAUGAGUCUGACCAAACUGCGGGAGGCAGUGGAAGACAGGAGUGCCUGGCGUGCUCUGGUCCAUGGGGUCACAAAGAGUCGGACAUGACUAAACGACUAAACAACAACAACAAGGGCAGGGAGAGCCAACAUGGCGUCCUCCAGAUGUUUAGGACUCUGACUCCCACCAGCCCCAACAUGUAUGGCCAGUGCUCAGAGGUGAUGGGAGUUGUAGUCCAAAAAAUCUGAAGGGCACUACAUUGGAUUCUCCUGGUCUUGCAAGCUACAAGUUGAGAUUUACUGAAGCACUUAAGAAAUUUGCCUGGAGAAGAAAAGCAGGUACCAUUAAGAACAGCAAAUGGGGGGGGGGAACACCCUGUUUUUUUAUAUCUAGUUUUACUGUUCAUCGUGAGGCUUGUCUCUUGACAGGCAUAAAUCACAUUUGCAGAUUAAACUAAUUUUCUGUGGCCUAAAAGGGCUUUUCUGGAUCCAGUCAUUACAAUUUUAAUUUAACCAUUUCCAUAUGUGGAGAAAACAUGUCUCGGUGCAAUGAUGUAAAACUUUAUUACAGCAAUUGAGAAACUCAUCUCCUCAUGUUUCUUCUGCACUUUCAUAUGCCUUGGCUGCCGGGAGGUAACGUAAGGAACGUAAAAUUUAAUGAUGCAGUGAUCCAUAAUGAUAACUUGCCCAUAAGUCAUGCAAAGAAGGCCUCAAUGGGGAACAGCUGGUGUGAGAGAGCAUCAUCUCUUUCUAAUUAAUGCCUCAAAAAGGUGUACAGCUAUGUUCAUUAAGGAGUUCACCUGAAUUCAGCAAACUGUAAAGCUGAAAGGUUGCCACUUGCCACAUUAUCAUUAAGCUAUAAGACCCCCUAAGGUCAUUUGCUUAGAUUCAAUGUGACUUUUAUUCAAGAAAAUGUGCUUAGGGUGGAUGGAUCUCCUUGUUUCAUGUCUGUUUUAUGUUCACAUUUCAGCCAUAAUUCCAUUCUAUUUCACACACACACACACACCCCGCAGAUCACCUUUUUGAACUGUUCCUCUCAUCGUAGCAUUUAAAUGCGCAUUUUCCUUCAAAAUGCAAUUUAAAUGUGUACUUUCUCUCAAAAUAUGUAUUUGUUUGCAUAGUUUGGUAUGUCUAAAUUGCCAAGAGUUGUGUCACAACACAGUCAUAGAAGGGCAACAUCUGUGGGAUAGCUAAAUUACAACCUGCAAAGGUAAAGGUAAAGGCGACUAUGGGGUGUUGUGCUCAUCUCGCUUCAGGCCGAGGGAAGCUGGCGUUUGUCCACAGACAGCUUUCUGGGUCAUGUGGCCAGCAUGACUAAACUGGUUCUGGUGCAACGGACACCAUGCUGGAAGCCAGAGCACAUGGAAAUGCCAUUUACCUUCCCGCCACAGGGGUACCUAUUUAUCUACUUGCACUGGCAUGCUUUUGAACUGCUAGGUUGGCAGAAGCUGGGAGAGAGCAACCAGAUCUCACCACUGUUGAGUGGAUUUGAACUGCUGACUUUCUGAUUGGCAAGCCCAAGAGGCUCUGUGGUUUAGACCACAGCACCACCCACAUCCCCAUACCUUUUACCUUCACAACUUGCACAAUAGAUGAAUUGGGACAGUUCAGGAUAUUUCUUAUAAGAACUCUAUAAUACCUAAUUCCCCAAGGAUAGCUACAGGAUUGUAAUGCCAAAGUGUUUUGCUUAAGGAUUCUGAGGCUUAUCUUUUAGCAUGAGCUGAAAUUCAACUUGUAACGUAUUUCAUUCAUCCAUUGCUAUUCACAGAUCUGGAAAAAAGGACUGUGGUCCAGACAAUGGAAUGGAAUCAAGGACAACUGAAAAAUGCUGAGAUAAGAUGAACACUAAAAAGAAGCAAAUCUGUUGGAAUUUAAAGAAAAUGCUUUCAUAGCAUACUUUUAAAAAAGAAGUAAUAAAGACAAUUUUGUUGGGAAUCUGAAGUGAGAUGGCUGCGUAGGAGAAGUUGUCCCUAGUUCCAGUCACCACACAGAGGCAGCUUUAAGGUCCAAAAUAGUUUAUUGCUGAAGAAGAUAAGGCUUCAGAAAUACAGUUCUGGACAUUGACAUACAGCUUGUAGGCUUUGCGGAUACAGAUGCAGAUAUAUACAACCACAUAGUAUCUCUUUUGCUCCAGCUUCAAGACGUAACACAGACUCCAACUCACAUACAGACUCACUGACUGACUAAUGAGCUGACAUGCUUUAAUCACUUAUAUAGAUGGCACUAGGUCAUUGCCAUAGCAACUGGCUUGGCUGACCAUGCACCUGUUGGCUUAUCUCAUACAUGGGGCAAUGUGUGCUCAUGCCCAGUUCCCCCAACAGAAUCUGAUAAGAAUCAAACAAAAACAAGGUGCCCUUAGUGGCAUUUCAAAUAUAACUUGAAGAGGUACAGUCUUCAUUCAGGGUGUAUUCUAUCUCAGGUUUCCUGGAGGAUUUAUUUAUUUUAAAAAACACAGGCCCUUUACAAGGGAAAGGUACUCUGCCCGAGCUCAGAGGCACCAUGCCCUUAGGUCCCUGGGGGAGAAAAUCUUUGUGCCAGAAGUUCUGGAACCAACUGUUGGCAAAUGUGUCUUGGAGCUGAAUUUGAAAAGACUUUGGCCAAAUGUUUGUGAUGAAAAGGGCUCUGAAACUGUAGCCAUUUGCUUUUCAAAUGCCAAGCUAUUUCUGACUAAUUGGAUUAAAAUCCAUUUUAUUGAAAGAUGUCUGAACUAGUCAGGUCCUUAGUGAUACAAAGUGAAGGAAAGUAAAAACACCAAUGAUGAUAGUGAUGCUUUCUAUCAACAUUUCACAUCUGUCCUUAAUGUGAAACAGAUGCAUUCUGGAACAAGCCAUUGUUUUCUACUCGAAUGUGACAAUAUGCUUUGAUGCUUUCUCCUUAAUUGUAACAUCAUGUAAUGAAGACCUCUCACUGUGUGUGUGGUAAAUUGCUGAAGACUUUGGUAAAGGAAAGAAAAAUUGGUAAAAGAAAUUCUCAUGGACCUGUAGUCAUUGUUCUUCUUGAAAAUCAGAUGAUUCCUUUCAAAGCUAUGGAAAUGCCAAAUGGGAAUUUUGGAACAACAUUGACAGACAGCAGAAUACACAGCUAUGCUUUUAUUAUUCUCUGCAAGGUUAAGAACAUAGUAAAAGCCCUGUGGGGUCAGACCAAAGACCUAUCUAAGAGGUUAGUUGGACUCCGACACUCAUCAGCCCCAGCCAGGAUGGCCAGUGAUCAGGAAUUAUGGGGUUUCAGUUCAACCCCAGCUGGAGGGCUGCAGUUUCCCUGACUCUUGCCUAUCUAGUUCAGCAAAUUGUUUUCCACCCCUGGAGCUUUCAUGAGAAUGUGAAUACAAAUGAAUAAUCAAGAGAACAUUAUUCUUGUACGGUAGUAGUGUCACCACUGUAGCAGAGUUUGUAUGGGGGUAGUGUCCAAAGAAGGAAGGCCCCCCCCCCAAGCAGGCAGAAGUGUGGAUCAUUAUGUUGCCAUGCAGAAAAGGGAGAAACAGGUGUAUUGUGGACCCACGUUCAGUGCUGGAUUUACAUAUAACCUAAACAAGCUAUAGCUUAGGGCCCCACUCUCUUGGGGGGCCCCCAAAAAUUUAAAGGAAAAAAAAACUGGAUGUACAUUUCCAAAAUAUAAUACAAAAAACAAAUGAAAUAAAACCUACAUACAGCAACAGCGUUUUGUGUGGUGUAGGCUCCUAUAUGUUACGUGCAAAUGGCUUUAGAUACCCGUUAGGUCCAUAAAUUACCACAUAGCAUAUAUUCAACACAAAAAACAGCAACAGUUUGUUGUUGACAAAGGACAGCUGGACAUAUAAAGGGCCCCAUUACCUUCAUUAGCUUAGGGCCUCAUCAAACCUAAAUCCAGCCCUGCCCACAUUACAGAGGACAGUCCUCAUUUUGAAGAGGUAUUUUAUUUGAAAGGCUGUCCAGUUCAAGCCUAACUUGAUAUAUAAGGAACUCUAAAGAGGCAGUAGACUUAGCAGGUAUACAUGUACUGUAUCCUGGUUACAGUCUUCUCCACUAUGGAGAAAUGUAUUACGUUUCAAUUAUUCUAUUCUAUACUACUAUUACAGCAGGCAUAGGCAAACUCAGCCCUCCAGAUGUUUUGAGACUACAGUUCUCAUCAUCCCUGACCACUGGUCCUGUUAGCAAGGGAUGAUGGGAGUUGUAGUCCCAAAAUAUAUGGAGGGCUGAGUUUGUCUAUGCCUGUAUUACAGCAAUUCUUUUUAAACUUUCACCUUAUACCUAUUGGUUAGCAUGCUAAGAUUCUGUGCAAGUGUGUGUGUCCUCUGUUUCAGCAGAUGCCUAAACAGUCACCCUACACUUUAUGCUCACUUACCGCUGUAGAAUUCCACUAGAUUAGAACUAGGAAGACUGCAGAUUUGUUCGAUCUAAUCUGUUGUGGGUUUUUUGAAAUCUUGAACCCCAAGGUGGAGCCAAGUGCAAAAUGGUAGCUCAGGUGCAUAGCAGGAAAGGAGCAGGGUGUCUCUGAGCAUAAUAUUAGCCUACAAAUUUGUUUCCACUGUCAGAACUGAGACAAAAAAUCCACUCCCCUGGUUUCUUCAUUUCUGGUAUCUUCUUCAUUUAGGAGGAGAGAGGAACACUUUUAGUUGUUUCUGUGGUUAGGGAGUCAGAAAACGUUGUUGAUCUUCCACAAAUCACUCAGAGAUCUACUAGUAGAUCGGGACUAGAAGAACCCAAUUUUCCUUCUACCUAUCCCUACACAAUAUAUCUAAACUGUGCAAAAUCCUUGCAAAAACAUAUGCAUGCAAAAUCCUUCUUUCUUGUGCCCUAAAUGGAUUAGGAUUGUUCAAAACAUGGCAGGAGCAGCAGAAGCAAUGAUGGCGGCAGCAGCAGUGCUUUAACAGCAGAAUAGCAGGCAGGUAUGCAGCGGUGGCAGCCCCAGCAGACUGAAAGUGACACUUUUAGGGCCACACUUCAGGGCAGAGGUUUGGGUCCUGCAGCCUGGGGCCCUGAAUAAAUGUCAGAGAGUGAGUGAUGCAUGAUGGGGGAAUGUUUUAAAUGUGUGUGUAGAUGUAGUCUGUCUGUGGCAGAAGCAGUGUGGGAGAGAGAGUGAGAAAAGAGAAAUAUAGAUGUAGUCCUUUUAAGUUUUGCAGUAAUUUAUGUUUGAACUUGUGGUCCUAAAUUACUUCUGAAAAAUUAAUCAUGAGCGGGAGGGAACCUUGGUGGGAAAGUGUGCAAAGUCUUCACUCUGUGUGUGUAUCCUUGCCAGUAAACAGCUUUCUUAGGACAGGACAGCCAACAGGCACUUGUCUGAAAGCCCAGACUCCUUCCAAUUCCACAGCUCUUUCACUGCCAAACAUUUGGUGGUGGGGAAUAGACUGCUACUCUCUCCCUCUAGAUGCUUCUUAAUAGUUUCUGGGGUUGUUAAAAUUUCAUAUCAAUACAUUUGUAAAUAAAAAGAAACAUUUUGCAAUAACUUUUUUUUUUAAUUCGAGAAGUUCACACAGGCAACCAUUAAACAUUUCAUAAUCUCCCAACACUGUUUAUGCUUCUCAUUCCUCACUUGUCAUCCGAAGACUUGUUCACACAUUCGCACAGAGUAUUCUUAUCUUGUGGUAAGCUUCGCUGUGGUUUCCUCUCUCCCUCUCAUGCUAAGUAAAGACCAGAUGUUCUAUGUUUUUGGUGCUGCUUGGGAAGCCUUCCAUUACCUUUUCCCCCUGCUCACUUUGCCAGCAUCUUUUGGGAUGAGAUGAUGAGAGGCAUCUUAUAGGUCAAAAAUCUUAGCUCAUGCUCCUCUUCUCAACAAACCACAAGCACCUUCUCUCUCUCUCUCUCUCUCUCUCUCUCUCACACACACACACACACACACACAAGAUUGCACAGUUUCUAAAAAAAGAUCCAGUUCUGGAGUUGCAAUAUGAUGUAGCUAUGGAUUUUCAAAACAAAUGGCAAGCGUUUUCAGGCUGAGGUCUGCAUUCCCACAUGGGCAACCUUCAGUUCACAACAUGCCAGAGUGGGUGAGAUCAGAUGGGCGCAAGUGUGUAAAUCAAAGCCAAGAAUGAGCAGAGCAACAUUGAUUCUUAUGCUUGUCAAGACAUUGGUACAGACAACAACCAUUUUAGGUGUGUCCAAUAUGUGCGCCACUGCGCACGCACGCAUCGGCCGAGCUUGGAAGUGACACCAAAAUGUCACAAAAUGCCUGUAAUAUCAUAUAAGUCCCUCUACAGAUCAGGACGAGAAUGCUUGGGAGGCUGACUUAUCCUUUAUGCACCUGAUAGAUCACUGUGGUCUAUGAGAGAGUUUCUCUUGCAAGUUCUGAAGAUCUCAGAGCCUGCACCACAGUAACUCAGAGCAGGGUUUUUGUUUUUUUAAUGUCUAUUGGAAUAGCAUUUCUGUUGAGGUACAACAAGUGUUCACUAUCUGCACAUUCAGAAAAUGGUUGAAGGCUUUUUUUGUUCCAGCUUUCCCAGCUGCUUGAAUGGGUCUUUACCACAAGGUUUUUUUUAAAAAAAAAUUCUUGUUUGUAAGUCAUCUUGAUGCAGUGGUCCGGAAGGCAAUUUAUAAACUAAUUGUAAUAAUAAUAAUAAUUAAUAAUAAAUAAUAUAGUUGGCUACAUUCCAACCAGAUGAAAGUCAGAUGCUUCUAAUGUACAUGUUUCCCUCCGUACAGGUAAGCGAGAAGCAUUAAUAGAGUUUAAGGAUACAAAAAGCACCUGAGGGGGAGAUUUUAAGCACACUCAUCUAAAAGCAGCUUCAGAUGUGGAUGGACUCUAACUCAACUCCCAAAGUCCCGCAUCUUGGGCCAUAUUAGUAGGGAGUCAGAGGAUCUGGAGACUCGCAGGUCCCUACCCCUUGGCCUAGAACCUCAAUUUUGAUUGGGAGCCCUGCUUGAAUAGGGUUCCAAAUCGUGUGGCGAAUUCUAAGAACAUCCAGAUAAUUGUGAUGAAAAUCUCCUUUCAGGCCUUCCUCCCAAUGCAGAAUAGUCUGAAGGGAGCCAGCCUGUUUGAGAGGGUGGGGCCUGCUGUAUCACCACUCUCAAUUUUCACUAAGCCCACACACAUUUGCUCCAAAUGCUUUAUAGGUAUAUGUCAGUGGGAAUACCAGUAUACUAUUUUAGGAUACUACUCAACUUUAAAAAACAAACAAAACCCAACUAAUACAUCAGGGAGAGGGUUAAGCACAACAUAUCUCUCUGAUGCACAAACUGAACCUUUUUUUAAAGAGGCAGUAGAACAUUCCAAUACAUGACACACAUGGACUCCACUGUAGCCUGAUGUGGAAUUUUAAUACUUCAGCCAACUUCUUCAUUCCGCAUAAUCUGUCCUCUGGCUCUAGUCUCUGAAAUCUGUGCAUGUCUUGCAGAAGGACUAACUCAUUCCAGGCACCUAUUUAAAUAAUUGUUUUAUGUAUGUUUGUAAUAUAUAUAUAUAGAGAGAGAGAGAGAGUAUAUGUCUGUCAUCAGUAAUGGUCUGAAUGAGGGUGAACAAAUUGAAACUCAAUCCAGACAAGAAAGAGGUGCUCUGAAUCAGUCGAAAGGCAGAACAGGCAGUAGAGAUUCAUCUUCUGCUGGAGUGAGAUAAUACCUACUAAAAUGAAUGGACCUCAGUUAGUCAUGCUUUUCACGUAUUUUUUGCCCUAUAAGACGCACCAGACCAUAAGACGCACCUAGUUUUUGGAGGAGGAAAACAAGAAAAAAAAUAUUCUGACUCUCAGAAGCCAGAACAGCAAGAGGGAUCACUACGCAGUGAAAGCAGCAAUCCCUCUUGCUGUUCUGGCUUCUGGGAUAGCUGCGCAGCCUGCAUUCGCUCCAUAAGACGCACACACAUUUCCCCUUACUUUUUAGGAGGGAAAAAGUGAGUCUUAUAGAGCAAAAAAUACGGUAAUUUAAAUAGGUCUGCUCUGAGUAGGACUAGCAUUAGAUUUAACCCAUUCGGAAGUGGGAGGAAUUCAACAUAGCACCGUUCCAUCAGAGCAAGUGUGCUAUUCUGAGGGUUCCCCCAGCCCCUCUGACCUAUUUCCCUGGGGCGGGGGGAGACAGGAUGACAUUGUACUAGGAGAAGUCCUGCAUGAUCUUUUGCUUGUGGGACUAUUCAGCUGAAUCCCAUCCACUGUGUCCUUCCCAUGAUGCGAAUGGAGAAAAGGAGAAAAGGUACAAGGAAUGCUAUCUCUAAGUUUGAUUUUAAGAAAAGGUUAAUAUUAGUUCAAGCUCAACUGCAAACAAGAAAGAUUCAAAACUCAUAAUAUCAAUGCGUAGUCAUCAAUCAAACUGAUAUGUGUCUGUCUCUUAGCAGCAAUGACAGGAAAUAAAUCAAUAACUGAUAAAAGACUGCCUUUUCCUAAACCUUGGCUAAAUCUUUUGACAGUUGCUUUAUUUUAAUCGAAGCCAGAAAAUCAUAACAUAGUGAUAAAAACAGUUGAACAUUAUUAAAAGCAUUGCAACUAAGAUGAAAGAAAAAAACAUAUAAAAAUUAAUCUAUCCUGACAAUCAGCAUAUGAUCUAGUGAAAACAGAGACAUGAUUCACUCCAGGAAUGAAAUAGUAGGGCAACCCUUAAACUACCACUGAUUGGUUUUUGCUGUUAUUAUUACUGUUGUUAUUAUUAUUUGGGUGUGCCAUUCUUCCCAACCAGGGAUGCAUGUGGGAUUUGGUUUGUUCAUAUUGCAUUAUGAGCUGACCUAAUCCAAACUUUCUGGACUAGUAUACAGAUCAAAAGUGGGACGCGGGUGGCGCUGUGGGUAAAACCUCAGCGCCUAGGACUUGCCGAUUGCAUGGUCGGCGGUUUGAAUCCCCGCGGCGGGGUGCGCUCCCGUCGUUCGGUCCCAGCGCCUGCCAACCUAGCAGUUCGAAAGCACCCCCGGGUGCAAGUAGAUAAAUAGGGACUGCUUACCAGCGGGAAGGUAAACGGCGUUCUGUGUGCUGCGCUGGCUCGCCAGAUGCAGCUUGUCACGCUGGCCACGUGACCCGGAAGUGUCUGUGGACAGCACUGGCUCUCGGCCUAUAGAGUGAGAUGAGCGCACAACCCUAGAGUCUGUCAAGACUGGUGCGUACGGGCAGGGGUACCUUUACCUUUUAUACAGAUCAAAACAUCCCUGUCCAUCAGACCUUGCUCUUCUCUGAAUAUUACAUACUAAUAAUGUGGAAACAGACUUAAUAAUGAACACAUGCAAAAGUGGCGCAAUCCGGAAUUAUCUUGAUCUGACAAUUCCUAUUCUGAACACACUAAUCUGGGAAUUAUACAAUGCAAAUGAUAUGACAACAGUUGUGGUGCAUAAAACUCACUACUUUAGAAUUUCCUUUGAUAUCUGGAUCUCAUAAUUGAAAACUGGGUACUCACAACAUCUCUUACAGCCUGGUCCUUUUCAUGUUUCCUGAGGGUGUAAGUCUCACUAAAUUCACCUCCUCUCAAAUGUGCAUAUGAUGGCUGUCUUGGGCAUUUGCUCAUUGUGCUUUAUCCAAUACCUGUUUUGUCCUACGUAGAGAGUAGGGACGGGUGAAUUUGUCAAUUUCAGUUUUUUCUCCUUUUCUCAUUUUUCCAAAUGUCAUUCAGUUCUCCACAUUUCUGUGUCAGUUUGAGAUUUUUAAAAAUCUCAUAAAAACCAAUCAACAUUUUAGUGCAAACCUUUCCUAACAGCCACAUUUUAAAGAAAUUUUGCCUAACCUAUACAUUUUCACAAAGCAAAUACCCACUAAUAUAAUGCAUUUUGUGUAUUACUUUCAAAAAGACAUGCACAUUUUAUGCACAUUUCCCCUAACAUACCCAUUUUUGUACGCAUUAUUAGGUGGAGGACUGCAUCACCAAAUUUUGCGAAUUGUGAUUUUCAAAGGACAGGAGUAUUUUUGUUUGCAUAUCAUUCUAGGAAGUGUGGAUUAGGUAGGUUCGCCUUAGCAUAUGGACUGUAUUGAACUGUAUUGAAUUUCUCCUCCAUCCAUAGUAAAGAGCACUGUUUUUUUCCAUGCUGACUGCUGGACUGUUUUGCUAAACCAUUUGGGAACUGAAGUUGUUCUGUGUUGAUAGGCGCAUUUGAGUGUGUAUAUAUGUUCUGUUUUCAUAAAAGCACUGCAGAUCUUACAAGAAUAACAGAACCUGCCUAGGAUGCCAGGAAUGGUACCAGGACUGGUUAUUGCCCCUGUCAUAAGAUGAGACUCAAAUUUGUCAUAACUUCUGGUUCUGAGCAACUAACGCAUUGGAAUUUAUUAAAGUCCCCAAACAGAGGAGAGAUGAAACUUGUCAUAGUGACUCUUUCUCACAGAGUCAUGUGCUUGUUUAAAACUGUGCAUUGCAAUGAUUUCAGGUCCAUACACAUUAAUUGGGUUAACUUCUGGCACGCAUUUGCUAUCCCCAGAUGACCCUUGACACGUUCAUACAUUUCAUUCAGGAAAUAAUACAUGGCAGAAAGAACAGACAAAGCAGAUGUAUUGCUGGUUUUGAUAUUUACAUUCAGCUUUGAAAUGGAAAUAAAGCCUAACUGAAGUAAAAAAACAAAACAAAACAUAGCAAACCCCCCCCCCCAAAGAAAGUCAACAGCAUUUUUAUUUCCAUUAUCAUGUUUUAAAGGCCUGGGUAUUUGAAAAGAAAUGAAACAAGAAUUCAGUGAUGCUAGAAAGACUCACAUUAAUCAAAUAAAGAUUGGAACUACACUCCGGAAAGCCAAACCCAAUUAUUAACAAAUUGCACAAUUCCUCCUGAUUCUACUCAUAUGUUGAACUGAACUUUCUCGCUCCUGUAACUUCAGAAUUUAUCAGUAUCUGCUGCUGCUGCUGCUGCUGCUGCUGCUGUUGUUGUUGUUGUUGUUGUUGUUGUUGUGAUAUGCUUCCUUUCUCCCUCCUCUGAAAAUGGUUCGGUGUGGUCCCCCAGAUGUUGCAGGACUACAAUUCCCAUUACCCCCUGACUAUUGGCAAUGCUGACUGGGAUCUGGUGUCUAAUAAACAUCUGGAGGGCCACAGGUUCCCCAUUCUUGAUAUAAGGCUACAUUUGGCCCCCAGGGCCAAAGGUUCCCCAUCCCUUAUCUAGGAGGACUGAGGGACUGAAAGCAUGGGAUAUCAUGGAGUGACUGAAUAUAUAUUUACCUGCUGGAACUCAGGUGGCAGAAAAGCAUGUGCAUAAGUAAAUAUAAAAUAAGUAGCACGUAGUUCUAUGCCAAUAUCUCCAAUCUUCUGGUGUUUAGACAGCACAGUGGCUUGGGCAAGCUAAUUCUCCAUUUCGGUCUGGUUUUUGUUUAAAGCACUUCAUAACCACAGCCAUAAUCCAGGUUAAAUGUGACAUUAAUCAAGGAAUGGAUUAAGGCCACGAACAAGACUGAAGCUUACUGGCUUUAGUGGAGCUUUCCAUUUGGCCACACACACUUUGUUCUUAAGAGAGCCUGGUGCACUCUCAGUUUUAUAGCAGUCGCUGAAUUAGAUCUCGUCCUCUCCAAGUAAUGGGGAACCAAGCUGUUUUCAAAAUGGUGGGACUCGUAAAUAAAUAGGAAGCUGUCAUGUGCAGGUGUUCUAGAACGGUGCAAUCCUGUGCAUGCCUACUCAAAAGUAAUUCCCACUGAGCUCAAUGGGUCUUACUCCCAGCCAAGAGCAUGCAGGACAGCAGCCCAAGGGCACAGUGUUAUGUGUGUUUCUCUGAGAGUAAGUCCACUGCAUGCUAUGGAGCUUGCUUACUUCCUUGCAGAUGCAUAUACAGGCAUUGCAGCCUAAGGAAACACCAUUUUCCUGCUGGAUCAGGAACCCUAUUUGCAAACGUGUGCUUUGCACAUGAUUCCCUUAACUGGGCUUCUAAAACAACAACAACAACGUCUCUCCCAGGUUGCCAGUAUUUUGCAAGAUGAAUUCAAUUCCAUACCAGAAAUUUAGCUUUCUGCUGUUGUAUGUUAAAGUGCUUUGUCACAACAAAUCCUUUUUUCAAAAAAAGUGGUUUUUUGUGGUUAGGAAUGUCAUAGGGAAAUACACUGAAAAAUGUGGAAUGAAGAAUGGAUUAACAGGAAGACAUAAAAACACCAUGCAAGCAAAUCAGAAUUUAUAUACUCGUUAUUGUAUAAACUUCCUACAAACAAAUCAGAACAAAUGCUCAUUAAAGAACCAGCAUAGACUAACCACUGCAUAAGCUUUGUGUAAGCAAAUCAGGAUAAAAGGUUCAAUGAACAGGUCUUAUGGAGAAGUCCUCCAAGACAUUGCAAUACCAUGAGGAGGUAGUCUGAAGCUACCUCGAAAUAACAAAAACUAAAAAGUUCUCUGCUCCCCAUUUUAUUUCUGGCAUUAAAAAAAUUGCAGCAGGUCUCCAAAGCAUGGACAAGAUUUGUUCAGAAAUACAACAUUUUAAAGGCAGUCCUCUUUGCAUAAUAUUUGUGAAUAAUUCAGAGCUUGGAAAGUUCAUUUUAAAAAAGGACUAGUUGUAAUUCAGCACAUCCCAAAAUGAAUCAGUUCCAGUUCAUGGCCAUCCCUUUACAAGAUGAACUAGUUCGGUUCAUGUUCAGUUCACAGUUCAAUUCCAGUUCAUUUUUCCAGCAUUCAGAAUUUUACAAGCUGCUUUGCCAAAGUAUAGAAUAUACUUAAGGAGAUUAAGAAAACAUCUAAAUAUUGGGAAGUGAAUUGUUAAUUUAUUGUUCAGUAUUUUAGUUUCAUUUAUAGUUUAUUUUAUUUUAUUAUUAUAAUUGUUUUUAUUUAUUUAUCCCAACAAUUAUGAUCUUUAAAGGCCCAAAGAGUCUAAAGAAUUAAAAAAAAACCUUAAUAGAAUUAACUAACUUUAAUUCUAUAAUAAGAAUUAAUCAGCAGAAGAUGCAGCUCUUUACACUACCUUUUAACACUUGAGGAAUAUAUUUUUAGGACCCAACUUAUUUUUUGUGAUUGUAAGUUGCCUUAGAAGUUUUAUUAUUGUGUUUUAAUAUCGUAACUUCCCCCUGCCGGGACCUCAGGGUGCAGGGUUUGUAACUUGAAGAUGAUUUAGAAAUUGUUCAUCUACCCCAAAAUGAACAUUUCACCCAGCAAUUAGGAGAACUGCUUUCAGGAACAGCUCUGAGGUUUUUGAACCAAUUCAGUGAACUUUGUUAAACCAAACCAAUUAAUUCCAAGCAUUGGGAUAACUGCAAGACUCAAUUAUCAAAAAUACAAAUAAAUAAAAAAUCACCUCUAAAACUCCCCCACUGAUUGCAGAAUUAUUUUCCCUCCUCUCAUAAAGGAGCAAUAACCAAGUGGGAAAAAACCUCUAUGAAGUCAUCUUGCAGAUCAAUGACUUGCUAUCUACGGUCUAACAGAUGUGUUAUGAUGACUUUAUCUCUGCAAAGCAUAAUUUUUGGAGCCUGAGGAAGGGUCGGGCCUCCCAAAGAGAAAACAAGCAAAUGUGGUAGAAGAGUUCAAAAACUGUUCAUGGAAAAAUAAUGAUUAUACCUGUAGGGCAAAUUGGAGACUUUGUUGAGUCUUGGUCUCCAACUCCCAUUUUACAGUUAACCUGAACCCCAGACUCUUAGAAUGCUGGGAACUCGAAAGUUUAACAUAAUUUCCUCUUUGCAUUGUUUGUAUAUCCAUUGAUAUAAAUCCCAUGGGAAGUGACUCAAUACCAUUAGCAUGAGUCAGUUUGAUUAACAAUAUGUUUCUAAAUUGCUGACACUUUUUUCUUUCCAAACCUUUUCCCACACUCCUGAUCCCGUUGCUAAAACUGAAUAUUGAACAGUGCAAUCCUACACGUUUACUCCGAAAAAUGUCCAGUUAAGUUCAAUAGGACUUACUUCCAAGGUAAGCAUGCAUAGGAUGCUGAAAUCAUUGAAAAUAAAAGGUUUUCCAUUCCUGGUAUGCAUACAUACCUGGAAGUAAGUCUCAUAGAACUUAAUAGUGUUUAUUUCUAAGUAGCGAUUCAGCGGAUCUCACUGCAAGGCUGAAAUCCUGUACCUGCUUAUCUGGGAAUAAGCGCAGUUGAGAAUUAUGGUUACUCAGCUUGGCCUACCUCGCAGGUGUGAUAAGAACACAAGGAAACUCUUAUGCACUGCACACGGACCUCCUUGUAAGAUGGGCGAGAUCCUAGUGAAAUUGACAGACAAGCUGGCUAGCAGCAGCAGCAGCAUAAACCUGUCUAAUCCCCUUUAAAGUCAUAUUAUGUUUUAAAGCUGUCGUUCGGUUGCUUUAGACGGUGGAAUGCUUUUCCAAGUGAAUAGCUUUUUGAGAUCCCCUGCCCCCUCAAAGAGCUCCAUUUCCUAGAGUUCUCUGGGGAAAAGGUUGAUUGUUAAAGCACUCUGGGAGGUCAAUAGGGGUCUCCUAACAACUCUCAGCGCCCUUAACAAAUUUCAUUUCCCAGGAUUCUUUGGGGGAAGCCAUGGUGGUUUAAAGUGGUAAAAUACUGCUGUAAAUGUAUAGCGCGGACGUGACUGUGAUAUUGCAGGAAACCUUGUUCAGCCUGAGGGCUCUAUUACUCAGGGAAAGGGGGAUUAUUGGGUUGUUCUUGGUUUUGGUUUUAUUAUGCAUUUUGUGUUUUUAUGUUGUGAACCACCCUGAGACCUGCUACUAUAGGGCAGUAUACAAAUUUAAAUAAGAAUAUGAAUAAUAAUAAGAAGAAGAAUGCCCUCAUGGAGCCACAUAUCAGGAGUAGGGCAGUAUACAAAUUUAAAUAAGAAUAAGAAUAAGAAUGCCCUCUUGAGCCACAUAUCAGGAGUAGGUGUAGUAAAAGUGGAUCUGACCAGACACAAGGUAUUAAAAAUGUGGUCUCUGUGGUAAAUAAUUCUCAUCCCUUCUUAUGUGUAGGGAUUGUAAGGCUUUGUGAGGUAUCACUUGUAGAUUUUUGUGAUACUAAAGAGAAAUCAAAUGGAGUAGCUGUCGAAUUAACUGUAAAGCCAAACCUUCAAUACUUACGCUGAAUUUCCAUUAUUCUUAUUGAAGGAAUUGUUGCUCCAAAGCUCAAGGAAAGGAAGAAAGAAAGAAAAACCCUCUUGCUUUUUGACACCUUCCUUGCAAAGCUUCUUUGUUUCCAUGGAGAAGUUUCAUGCAAAGCUGCUUUUUGUCAGUAGUUGGCACCUCUAAUUAUAGCUGACAGGAUACUCCCAAAUUUGACAAGGUUUUUUUUCUUUUCUUCCACCUUUAGCUUUCAAAUGCAGUCAUGUGUUUCCAGAGGAACCUAGGGAGGGAUCCUGAUCUCUUAACCUCCUUUUAAAAUUCUUCAUUGUUCAACAGUAAUGUGGGGGAAUACUCCUAAAUUCUUGAGCGAAAAUUAAGUUUGACGCAAAAUCAGCUCCGUACAUUCUAGGUGAGAAUUUAUUUCUUGGGCUCUCAAGCAGACAAUGGCUGAGGGAAAUCAAGAAAUCUUAACAGUGUUUUCAUUCGCAGUCCUAGGAAACGUAUCACGUAUCUUUCUCUCUUGCACUUUCGUGUUACACAUGAAUGCUGUUAAAGCAAGAGAGACUUUGGAAGGAAGAAAAAAGUAUACAGCUACUGCAUAUUUUACAAGUGCCUUAAUGACCAAAUUGUCUUUUGCAGAUCUAAAACUAAAGCCCCAAUUAAGACAAUACACCUUGGUUCGGACACCGUGUGGCAGAGGAAGCCUCUCCAGCACCCGGGGUGGGACUGCGCAUGUGCGGCAGCCCAUACGGAUAUUGUGCAUGCGCCCUCGGCUGCUCUACAGCUGGGGGGAGAGGCAGCGGGCCAUCUUGUCACCCCCCCAGGGAGGCACUAGGGGCGUCCCGUCCCCCUCACCCCUGCUUUCGUACGCCACUGGUUCUCAGUCCAAGAAACCGUGGUUUGCUGGAGCAGGCAUAAUAAUAAUAAUGGUAAUAAAAUUUUAUUCAUAUCCUGCCCUCCCCAGCCGAAGCCGGGCUCAGAGCAGCUAACAACAAUAAAAGUAACAUAGUUUACAUAGAAUCACAAUUGAUUAAUUAAAAUACAUACUAAAAACAAUUCAUUCUAAAAUCAAUUCAGAAUUAAAGUAAUGGCAACCAUUGGGCUAGAGUUCUAUGAGGAUUACCAAAGGAGGGGGUCAGACUGUGCCUUGGCCAAAGGCCUGGUGGAACAGCUCUGUCUUGCAGGCCCUGCGGAAAGAUGUCAAGUCCCGCAGGGCCCUAGUCUCUUGUGACAGAGCGUUCCACCAGAUCGGGGCCACGGCUGAAAAAGCCCUGGCUCUGGUUGAGGCCAGCCUAACCUCCCUGUGGCCCGGGAUCACCAAUAUGUUUUUGUUUGAAGACCGUAAGGUCCUCCGUGGGACAUACCAGGAGAGGCGGUCCCAUAGGUAUGAGGGUCCUAGGCCGUAUAGGGCUUUAAAGGUUUAAACCAGCACCUUAAACCUCAAAUGUUUCUCCCUUCCUAUUCUCCUUCCCACCUCCUUUCACAUAUCCAGCUUCAGAGGAGACUUUCUGGUUUGUUAAACCAUUCCCAUGAAGUCAAAACCAGUUUCAUUCUUGUUUGGAAAAUGAGCUUGUGAGGAGUGCUUAAAUGACAAGUUCCUUCUUCAGGCCUCAGGCGAAACCACAAAAGCCCUAUUCAGGGGAAGGAGUGGGGAGGCACAUAUGCAAGGCCUGCCCUCCAUGUUCCAGCACACACUGGCUCCAAUGCAGACCUUUUCAAGUCCACUGCAAGAGUCUAAAGGGGGAUUCCAAUAACCACUGGUUUCAAAACCGCACUGAUUUUUUCAUUAGAAUUCCUGAGCAGCAUCAACUACAAGGUUGUCAGUAUAAUAAUUAUUCAUUUUACUUAUUCUUAUAUUGAUAUCUGAGCUUCUCUUGAGAGGGAGUUCUGCAGCCAGUGACAAGGCCCUCCUUCUGGUGGUAAACUAACCCAGGGCAGAUCUACACUUGCAGUUUAUAACAUUAACAAUGCAUUAUUACAAUGUGACACGGGAGGGCCACCAGCAGAGGGGAAAUGCAUGUUAAACGUUAUAGAACGUUGCAUCUAAUAUUGUUCUCAUAACGUUUUAAAGAUUGCUGUAGAUCCAGCUUUAGACUUCAAUGUAGCAGGAAUAUUGAAAGAGGGACUCAGCUCAUAGCUGUUUUGAUUAUUAUAUUUGGGCCAUUUUUUAAAAAAGUCUGUUUUUAUCACUAUAUAUUAAUGAAUAUUUCAUAAUAUUAGGUUAACAGCUUAGAAGUUUUUUUUUAAUUAAGUGGUGUAUAAAUAUUGCUAAAUACAAUAAUAUAAACCCAGGAAAGGAAUGCUUGAGGAAAUCUAGGCUUUGUGACUUCCAAUAUUCCCUGAUCCGCGUCUCCUGGGCUGAAGUGAAGAGAGAAACUUGGGCACCUGGGCUUCCAGACUUUUCCAAUUCAGUUCUCAGCUCAAACAAAAGCAUUAUUUUAACAAGCAUAUUUUGAUGGGAAAUAGCUUUGGAAAUGCAUGUUUUGAAGCUUUUACUGGUUUUUUUUUUAUUAUUCCAGCAUAUAGCAUCAUGUUCUAUAUUGCCUUGGAUCACUGCUGUGUUUCAUUGUUUUGUGGAUUUUUAUUGCCUUAAAUUGUUUAAUAUGUUUUAUUCCUCUGCACAGCAACGUAGGAUGCAACAUGAACGGUGAUAUAAAAAAGGUCUUAAUAAAUAAAUAAACAAACGCUAUCAUCCUAUUUAAACUCAGCUUGUGGAUUUAGCAGCAGUUCUUCUGACAGAAGGCAUUUGCAAUUCCUACAGUUCUAUUAAAAAAAAACCAGGAGAGAAAAAGGCCCGGUAACAAAUUUGCAGCCCGUGCAGGUAUCUGAACAGAGGUGUAAAUAUGUUGGCAGGAUCUUGCUCUUGUCAGAAUACUUUUGCUAACUGCAGUUUCCGGACCAAGCGCAAAGUUGUGGUGUGUGCUUUGGUUGUGGUGUGUGUAGUGCCUGUGACAGUGCCCACAGUUUCCAAAUGUGCCCACAGGUCUAAAAAGGUUGGCGACACCUGUACAUGUAAAUAUAGCAGUAAAUGAUCACACCAGGGAAAAUGUGUUAGGUGCAGAUUAAAUACUGCAAGCCGUUGGUGACCAAAAAGGCAUUCCAAAACUGCAUAUAUUCUCUAGUCUGGCAUACCUAUAGAAAAGGCCUGUCAACACAAACCUGAGGUAUGGCUGGUUUGAAGCUUAUUAAUUUAAUAUGAACAACUUGUGAGGUGAUGUGUCAUGAGGAAUGCCAAGGCAAAGAAAAUUAAUAUUCUUUCCAUCUAGACUUUUCUGUUAGAUCACUUUCUGUUUAAGCUUGUUUUCCGUCAGGAUCCUGAGGCAUUGCUUGACUUUCUCAAAUACGUUUCCCUUGUAUCCUUUGAACAAUUCCGCCAUUGUUCGCCCGCUUGUUGUAUAUUAUUCUAGCACAUUUCAAAAUCGCAAAUCAAAAGCCUAUCAACAUGCAUUAUGGAGAUCCUCAAUAUUAUGGGCGGGUUUGUUUGAAAUGGCUUUAUCCUAAUUACAAAUCUCUCUACAGUGGCUUUAUUAAAAGGACAAGUUUCACAUGUAAACUUACUCCCUUGCACGGUGGUCUUGUCAUAUUUUUAUAUAUCUAAUAAUACUUUGCCUGAAUUUCCUUCCUGGCAUCACACAUGCUUGAACAGGGAGGGGGAAGAAGGAGAGUAUGUUGGCAUUCAAUGCUCCACCAUCUUAGUGUGUUCCAAUAAGCUUGCCAAUAUGGGCCAUAUAUUUUUUUGCCGCACUUUAUUAAGGCAGUGUCAGGUGCUAGCCUCUAGGAACACACCUGCCUCAUGCCAGCUCACACCACUGAUUCCUCCAGCUCAAUGUUGUCUCUGCGAACUGGCAGAAACUCUUUGGGAUUUUGGAGAGGGGUCUCUCUCAUCCCUCUGUGGAGAUGCCAGGGAUUGGAGACCCAGGGUCUUCUUAUGCAAAGUGUUAAGUUGUGGGUGAACAUAUCAGACGACACAGCGAUUCUUCAAACAGCUCUUGUUUAUUCACAGGCCAGAACAGAACUGAACUGAAGGGUUCAGCCAGCCUGCUUAUAUAAAGCUCCACUACAACGCAACAUAUAGAACUCCAUACAACGCAACUGUAACAACUUUCUGUAACUAUAUAGAACUCCACUACAACGCAACUGUAACAACUUUCUGCAACUAUCCAAUCACUGAACGUCACUUUCAAUCCCUUACCUGCAUAUGUGGACCUGAGUGAAAACUAUCUACAGUAUCCCCCUGCUGGCCCAGGGUGAGAACUUCAGUACAUACCGUAACACAAAGCAAAUACUCUACUAAUGGCCCGUUCCCAUGAGCACAUGGCAUGAUUGCCCAAAGUGCAAGAAUUAUCUUUUGGGUAUGAGGAGUGCAGGUCUGAGUAUGAGACCCCUUGUCCUCUUGCAUAUUUUCAUAAAAGGAUUUAUCUAAUUUAUAUGGGAACCCCUAGCUGCUAGUUAGGCAAGCUUCCUCGCUACCUAUAUUGCUUUAGACACCUGUUGAAAACCAUUUAAAAAAAAAAAAAUAUUCAGCAAGGCUAGCCACACACCCAAUUUACUUACCUAUAUUUGUUUUUAAAGUUUUACUGCUUUGAUCUCUUUUAAAGAUAAUUAUUUUAUGUGUAUAGUUCUGGGGAGCUUAGAUGGGUUUUAAGUAAAGUUCACCAUUUAGAGAGAUCUUUGAUUAAGCAGUUUAUAAAGGAGAUAUAUUUGUCAUGUUACAGUGAUAGCAAAAAGAGCUGUUUCUUAAGAUAUGUAAGCAUGAGGCUGGGUGCACAUCACACAUUUACAGCACAUCACUCCCAAAGAUUCCUGGGAACUGCUGUUUGUUAAGGGUGUUGGGAUUGUAGGUCUGUGAGAAGUAAACAACCCCCCCCCCCAGUCUUCUUGAGGUGGAUGCAGCCUCAGUGAGACUAAUAGGAAGAAACUGGCGCAAGGGUUCAUUCUUUUAAAUGCAAAUACUCCUCUCUCCUUCCCCAAAGCCUCACUGAUGAAUGUGAAUUGCAUACUUUUACAUCAGGAUGCGGGUGGCUCUGUGGUCUAAACCACUGAGCCUCUUGGGCUUGCCAAUCAUAAGACUGGCAGUUUGAAUCUGUGCAACAGGGUCAGCUCCUGCUGCUCUGUCCCAGCUCCUGCCAACCUAGCAGUUUGAAAGCAUACCAGUGCAAGUAGAUAAAUAGGUACUGCUGUGGUGGGAAGGUAGACAGUGUUUCCGUGUGCUCUGGCUUUCGUCACGGUGUCCCAUUGUGUCAGAAGCAGUUUAGUCAUGCUGGCCACAUGACCCGGAAAAGCUGUCUGCGGACAAACGCCGGCUCCCUCGACCUGAAAGGGUAGAUGAAUGCUGUGCCCCAUAGUGAAAUUCAACUGCACUUUACUGUCCAGGGGUCCUUUACCUUUACAUACUUUUACUUUCUGCAGGGUUGUUAGGAGACCCCCAUUCACCUCACAGAUAUACAAUUCCCAGAGUUCCCUGGGAAGAGGGAUUGAUUGUUCCACCGCAGUGGGACUUGUAGCUCAAUGAGGAGUAUAGGGGUGCCCUGACGCCUCUCAGCACCCUUAACAAACUCCAGACCCCAGGAUUCUUCAGGAGAAGUCAUGGCUGUAUAAAGGGGUAUGACACUGCUUUAAAUGUACAUUUCAGAUGGGAAUCAGCUGGCGGCAGCGGGGGGGGGGGGGACAGAAUCCCCAUCCCAUACCCUCCAACAUUUCUCCAAUGAAAAAAGGGACGUUCCAUUCCAUAAUAGUAAUUUUACUAUUUAUACCCCUUCACAACUUACUGGGUUGCCCCAGCCACUCUGGGCACCUUCCAGCAUAUUUAAAACAUUAAACAUUUUUUUAAAAAAAUAAUUCCCUAUACGGGAUUGCCUUCAGACGGCUCGGGGGGGUUGGAUAACUCCAUAGCCUCCAACAUUUCUUCAGUGAAAAUAGGGACAUCUAAGGAAACGUGGGACAUUUCGGGAUCAAAUCAGAAACUCAGAAAAGUUCUCUAAAUCAGGGAUGUCCCUAGAAACUAGGGACACUUGGAAGGUCUAUCAUCCCAGGUGUGCAGAGUUGUUUCACAUCCCUUUCUCUUUCAACAGUGACUCACCUGGUGCCUCUGUGACAUAAAUUUAGGUGCCAGGCGACAACAUUCCUCUUCUCACAGGCCUUUGGCUAAUUAAACAAUUCUGUGGCCUUUUAAACUGUGGGGGUAUUAUUUUUGGUUUUUUUUACUAUGGUUAGCUUUUUUGUGUUUUUAUAUUGUAAACCGCCCUGGCUGAAGGGCGGUAUAGAACUUUAAUAAAUAAUAGCAAUCCACAGCGGCACUGCAGCACUUAAUGUUUGCAAGGAAAAGAUGCAUCUUUGGGUUGACUCUGAUGUUACUUACGCCUUUCAGGUACAUGAAGGGAAACAAGGAUGAAAGGCCCGAGAUGCAGUGCUUUGUCCGUACAUGGUUAACUGCUGUGCCAGAAGCAGGCACGAGAGACAAUUAUUUACAACUUGUAUAAUUUAUGUGAUUCCAUUUGCAACACAUGCGGAUUCAUCUUAAACUGAGUAGCAGGGGAGCUGCAUUGAUUUUGAACUCCACAAGCGCUGUCAUGUCAGCACAAAACCCUUGUAAGAAAGUGCUGCUCUGGUCUCUCAGUUUUUUCUCCUAUGCUCAGUGACACAACAUCUGGCCAUAUAAUAUAUACUUGACAUCACGUUGUGUGUGUUUGUGUGUGGAUAAAGCAAUUUUGAUAACAUACGAAUCUACACUCAGUGAAUUAGUUCACUAACAGUGACUCACAAGUGGGUCUGCAGUGGUACCUUGGGUUACAGACAUUUCAGGUUACAGACGCUUCAGGUUACAGACUCCGCUAACCCAAAAAUAGUACCUCAGGUUAAGGACUUUGCUUCAGGAUGAGAACAGAAAUCGUGCGGUGGCGGCAUGGCGGCAGCGGGAGGCCCCAUUAGCUAAAGUGGUGCUUCAGGUUAAGAACAGUUUCAGGUUAAGAAGGGCCCUCCAGAACGAAUUAAGUUCUUAACCCGAGGUACCACUGUAGUGUUAAAGCCAGCCAUGCCUUCUUUCAGGAAACACCAUUCUGCUGUCCCUUUGGCUUUUCCCCUCAUAAGGCAGCCAUUAUUCUGUGUCUAGAAUAAUGCUGGUUUGGAGGAGACAUUUGAAGGAAGUAAGAGAGGUGUUGUCACGUAGGCUGGUGCUCUGGGAUGCCACUGCAAGCCUACAGGGCAGCAAUAGAGAAAUACAUAUUUGGCACAGCACUACCAUAUCCCUUUCUCUUCUCAUAUGCAGAUGCAAAGGAUGGGUGGUGAACCUUAAGCCUGGGAGUCUAAUGUGGCCUUCCAAAUUCCACUAUCUGGCCUUUGGGACUUUCCUUGAUCCACACCUCCUCUCUCCAAGCCCUGCUCCACUCCCCACUCGAGUGCUUUUCCGUGGUUGGAGAUAACCUUAAGCUGUAUUAAUGUCUCCUGCUUGUCUGGAUGUAGGAGUGCAUGUAUGUGAGUGCAGAAACUGCUGACCUUUGUGCAGUUGGUGUUAUGUAUUCAGUGGUCUGUGUUUGCCUGAGCUUGAGUCUGGACUAAGGAUUUUGAGCCCCUGUGCUCUGAUUCGGUACAUGAUAUCCAGUCACAGAACUUUUCAGGAUUUGGGCCUCUGCCAUUGGCCCUUAAACUAUGAGUUAUGAUACGCAGCUUGGGAGUUUAGACAGCCAAUCACGUUGAGAGUGGGAGUGGCCCAGGCCUUCAGAAAUGUCUUUAAGCAGUUUCUUUGCCCCUGUUGUCCAGUUUUGUUAGUUUAAUAAGGUUCUUGCUGUUAUCACUGUGUCUUGUCUCUUGGGAACCCACCUACACUUCAGUUGGGAUGCAGCCUACUGUACAAAGGCCAGAGUCAUAUCCACGGCCCUGCUUAGUUGUGCCUUUGGCUUCUUUCACUUUGUGCCUCUGCCUCCACUGGUAUCUGGUCCUCCCAGCUCAUAUCUGUCAACUUUUUCCUUUUCUUGCGAGGAAUCCUAUUCAGAAUAAGGGAAUUUCCCCUUAAAAAAAGGAAAACAUUGACAGCUAUGUCCCAGCUGGUUGUCCAUAAGCGAAUGUGGCCCCCAGACAUAUAAAGAUUCCCCAUCAGCAGCUUAAAGCAAGAAAAAAGAGCUUAAUAAAUUCAGCUUUGGAAAAAAGAAGUUAAACUCUGACAAUCACUUGAGAGAAGUUCUGCGUUAACAAGGGGUUGAUUUGUAUCCGUCUUUUCUUUCAAUUGGCCAAGAUAAAUUAUUCCAUUAGCUCAUCAGUAUUGGAGAAACAUAAUCACUCAGUGUAGCUGGACGUUUCAUUCAUUAAUGGAAAGCAGUGCAUAAAUGCAUACAUAAAUAAAAUGCCUGGCAUUUAUAUGACAUACACUGACAGCGGAGAUGCACAUGUCAGGCCGAGAUAUGCUAACGAAUUCCCAUAGAGGACCAUGUUUUCAUUUUUAUGACUGAUUUAUACGCAGCUCUUUCAAAGCUUGAGGUGGCUGGUAUAAAUAAUGUCUAAGAAAACAUCAAAAUGGAAGAAAAAACAACUCAUAGAAUUUAAAUAGCAGCAGGAUUACAAUUCUGUAAAUGGAGCAACUUUUCCACAAAAUCAAUUGUAUGUCUGCCACCAACCUAAAAGAAGAGAGAAGAAGAGUUUGGAUUUGAGAUCCUGCUUUAUCACUCCCCUUCAGGAGUCUCAAAGUGGCUAGCAUUCUCCUUUCGCUUCCUCCCCCACAACAAACACUCUGUGAGGUGAGUGGGGCUGAGAGACUUCAGAGAAGUGUGACUGGCCCAAGGUCACCCAGCAGCUGCAUGUGGAGGAGCGGGGAAGCGAACCCGGUUCACCAGAUUACGAGUCCACCGCUCUUAACCACUACACCACACCGGCUCUCA
Podarcis lilfordi (Lilford's wall lizard) is the source of this 38912-nucleotide non-coding RNA. The record is from the annotation of a GenBank genome assembly. Lineage: Eukaryota; Metazoa; Chordata; Lepidosauria; Squamata; Lacertidae.